CCGGGCAGAGGGAGCACGGUACAUUCUAGAAGCUGCCAGAAGGCCAGUGGCUGGAAGACAGCAUGAAGGGGAGCUGGCGGGAGGCGAGGUCACAUCGGGAAGCCCGGGGUGUGUAGGCCGCUGCUUGGAUUUCAUUCUGAGCAGUGGGAGUGAGGCGUCUAGACCCGCAGCAGGGGCGGGUGUGAGGUUCGCACCUGCGGAGAGGACGCUCUGGCCGUGGGAGGCCCGGCCAGGGGCGGGCGCGGGCGGAGGCAGGCAGGGGGUUCCUGCGGCUGCUGCAGGGUGAGCGCAGAGAAGCAGAUGACUCCUCCACGCCUGGGCUGGAGCCGCCCCUGGAGAAUCAGACCAGUGGCGCGGGCAGUCGGGCCCUGACCACUGACCGAGGGUGGCCGAUGGCCGUGAGCGAUCCCUGCGCCCGUUUCCUGAGCCAGGUGCUGCGAGUGAUGAGGAAAUUGCAAUUCAGAAGGCUUAAGUGACUUGCCACAGCCACACCGUCUGUCCAUGGCAGAGCUGGGUUUGGAGCCCAGGUCUGGGGCUGCCCUUUGCAACGGACAGUGCCCUUCAGACUUGGAAGCAAUUCUCUCCGGAGGUGCCGGGCUCCCGGUGGCUGGCGGAGUGCCAGCAGAGGCCAGCGCUGACCUGUGGGGCGCAGCUGGCUGCGGCAGGAGCCGCGUCUAGCCUUGAGCAUGCAGCGGGGACGAGAGAGACAUCGGUUUUGCCCUUAUAGCGCUUACAAACUAGUAGGGGAGACCGACACUAAACAGCUAGUUGCAUAACUAAUUAUGUCAUUAAAAUUGGGCUAAGGGUAGCGGUUCUCACUCUCGCCGCCACCCUGGAGCUGGGGCCCUGCUUCCCCUCCGAAGCUCGGGAGGAGGCCGGGCAGCCCUUCCACAGGCUCCCUGUGCCCUGCAGCAGGAAAUCUCAAAAAGGCAUCGUGUCCCUGAGGGGCACGGACCCCUGAGGUUGCAGGCUCUUGCAAACAGCCCAGAUUGACCUGCCGUUUCGGCCGGUCCGCUCCAGGCUGAGGCCCUGUCUUCUGCCAGUCUCCACCCGAGGGCUCUGAUGGCAGAAGCCUGGGGCAGUGGACCUUUGUCCCAGCCACUGUGUGACAUCUGCCCAGUCACUUCACCUCUCUGAAGCUCAGCUGCAUCAGCUGUAAGAUGAGGUGAACAGCCCAUGCUUGUCAUGAGGGUUUUAUGAGAUACAUCCUGAUGCCUGGCACACAGUAAGUGCUCAAUCAAUGCUCAUUCCCUUCCCCUGUGUGGGGUCCAUGGCGAUACCAAGCUCAGGCCUCCCUUAGAAUGGCUAGCUCUGAGCUGUCCACUGUGGUUGUCAUGAGUGACACGGAGCCACUUAGCACUGGGGAGGUGGCCGGUCCCAACUGAGAUGUACCUUACGUAUAAAAUGCACAACCAGAUUUUGAUGACUUGGGAUGCACAAGGGAAUGCAAACUCUCCCAUUAGUAAUGUUUUACACUGAUUAUGUG
This is a non-coding RNA of Microcebus murinus (gray mouse lemur), 1486 nucleotides long. Lineage: Eukaryota; Metazoa; Chordata; Mammalia; Primates; Cheirogaleidae. The record is from RefSeq and is a predicted model, not a curated record.